Molecule: long non-coding RNA, 208 nt
Filed under: Elaeis guineensis (African oil palm)
Lineage: Eukaryota; Viridiplantae; Streptophyta; Magnoliopsida; Arecales; Arecaceae
Description: long non-coding RNA (EGUI_LNC048576)
Source: RNAcentral
AUCUAGCCUCUAACUUGCAUGCCUACUAUCGCUUGAUAUGGGUCAGAUAUCUCUAAAUCUUGAGGUACCUAAUGGUUAGCCUCUUACCAUGUUAUAACUCGUAUGAUGUGGUUGGAACUGAUUUAGAAGAAACUCGAUCUAAAAGAUGAAUCGUGAAAUGUAAUGCAUAUCCUUAGAGAAAGAUAGGAAGAUUUGUGAAGCUCAUCAU